UGAGGAAUAUUGGUCAAUGGGCGAAAGCCUGAACCAGCCAUGUCGCGUGCAGGAAGACGGCCCUAUGGGUUGUAAACUGCUUUUGUAUGGGAAGAAACGACGGUACGAGUACUGUUUUGCCGGUACCAUACGAAUAAGGAUCGGCUAACUCCGUGCCAGCAGCCGCGGUAAUACGGAGGAUCCAAGCGUUAUCCGGAUUUAUUGGGUUUAAAGGGUGCGUAGGCGGGAGAUUAAGUCAGUGGUGAAAGUUUGCGGCUCAACCGUAAAAUUGCCAUUGAUACUGGUUUUCUUGAGUACAGUUGAGGUAGGCGGAAUGUGGUGUGUAGCGGUGAAAUGCUUAGAUAUACCACAGAACACCGAUUGCGAAGGCAGCUUACUAAGUUGUGACUGACGCUGAAGC
This 400-nucleotide ribosomal RNA is filed under the name uncultured bacterium. RNAcentral's name for it is "bacterial SSU rRNA". It matches the Rfam family "Bacterial small subunit ribosomal RNA", at positions 355 to 752 of the family's 1533-position model. The record is from RNAcentral.